Molecule: ribosomal RNA, 561 nt
Filed under: Triticum aestivum (bread wheat)
Lineage: Eukaryota; Viridiplantae; Streptophyta; Magnoliopsida; Poales; Poaceae
Description: partial small subunit ribosomal RNA
Source: RNAcentral
AUGAGAUACAUAUCAACAACCAAAGCAUGCUGGCGGAUAUUCCAGUUUGAUCUUCACCAUCGUGAUCCACCCGUCGAGAGACUGCCAUUCCACAUUGAAAAUGAGCAACAAGUCAUUUUUCCGGACUCGACUGACAUCGAGAAGAUAGUAAGAAGACCAGGAUCCACAAGUACAAAGUUCACUGAGUGGAUGGAGGUAAACAAAAUACACGAGGUGGGAAAAGAAUUAACCUAUGCAGAAUUCCCAUCAAAAUUUGUAUGGAAAAGUGAAAGCAAAACUUGGGAGGAGCGGAAAAGGGGCUUUGCGAUUGGAAGAAUCUACUAUGCACACCCUGCAAGUGGCGACCGGUAUUAUAUGAGAAUGCUUCUAAACACCAAGAAAGGAUGCACAUCAUUUGUGGAUAUUAGAACAGUUAAUGGAGUUGUUCACCCAACAUACAAAUCAGCAUGCCAAGCGCUUGGAUUUCUUGAUGACGAUGGUGAGUGGAUUGAAUGCAUCAAUGAAGCAUCAAGCUGGGGAUCAGGGACACAGUUACGACAACUAUUCACCACAAUUUUAUGA